AAAAUACAGCCAUUUUAGCCAUAGGGUCCACAUGAACUUUAAGGUUCAUCUUAAGGUUCAUGUGGACCCUAUGGCUAAAAUGGCUGUAUUUUUCAUCUUAAGGU
Molecule: small RNA, 104 nt
Filed under: Mytilus galloprovincialis (Mediterranean mussel)
Lineage: Eukaryota; Metazoa; Mollusca; Bivalvia; Mytilida; Mytilidae
Source: RNAcentral